Small nucleolar RNA from Phragmites australis (common reed), 139 nucleotides. RefSeq annotates it as small nucleolar RNA Z247. Lineage: Eukaryota; Viridiplantae; Streptophyta; Magnoliopsida; Poales; Poaceae. The transcript has a single exon. The record is from RefSeq and is a predicted model, not a curated record.
CGGCUGGAUGAUGAAGAGCUGGUCGAGUACAUUAUUACUGGCCUUGGAGAAGAAUUCAUGCCAUUGGUCACUGCUCUCACCGCCAGGGCAGAACCGAUCUCGGUGGGGGAGCUGUAUUCACAGCUUCUCAAUUUUGAAA